GAUGAACGCUAGCUACAGGCUUAACACAUGCAAGUCGAGGGGUAACGAGAGGAAAGCUUGCUUUCCUUGUCGACGACCGGCGCACGGGUGAGUAACGCGUAUCCAACCUGCCCCCAACUAGGGAAUAACCUUGCGAAAGUAAGACUAAUACCCUAUAAUUUCCUCAGAUGACAUCUGACGAGGAAUAAAGAUUUAUCGGUUGUGGAUGGGGAUGCGUCUGAUUAGCUUGUUGGCGGGGUAACGGCCCACCAAGGCAACGAUCAGUAGGGGUUCUGAGAAGAAGGUCCCCCACAUUGGAACUGAGACACGGUCCAAACUCCUACGGGAGGCAGCAGUGAGGAAUAUUGGUCAAUGGGCGGAAGCCUGAACCAGCCAAGUAGCGUGCAGGAUGACGGCCCUAUGGGUUGUAAACUGCUUUUAUACAGGAAUAAAGUUAGCCACGUGUGGUUAUUUGUAGGUACUGUAUGAAUAAGGACGGGCUAAUUCCGUGCCAGCAGCCGCAGUAA
This 506-nucleotide ribosomal RNA is filed under the name uncultured bacterium. Its description in RNAcentral is "partial 16S ribosomal RNA". It matches the Rfam family "Bacterial small subunit ribosomal RNA", at positions 28 to 523 of the family's 1533-position model. The record is from RNAcentral.